GAGGUGGCCCUGUCCCAGCCUGGCUCUAACAGGAGGCUUUUACCUCUUCCCUGCAGGUGAUAGCAGUGUCUGACUGUCAGCCCCACCACGGUAAUCUCCACCAAAUGUUCUACAGAGAAGAGGAGGUGCGGGGUUUGGGCCGCCUGCGGGGCGGGCAGCAGGGACCCUGCACCACCAUGCACGUGGGAAUAACUGAACGAGAGUCAUCCAAGUCCUGUAAUCACCAGUCAGAUAGAAAAUCUUUGCCCCCAUCAUCGCUAGCCAUCCCCAUCGCAGCGAAGCCGGCGGCUCUCACAGGCUCCCCCACGGAUGACCACCCGCUCGCAGACGAGUGAGUCCCAGCCCCAUCCCCAGCCCCUGCCCCAGC
RNAcentral lists this long non-coding RNA (367 nucleotides) under Anser brachyrhynchus (Pink-footed goose). Its description in RNAcentral is "lncRNA (ENSABRG00000007276.1)". The record is from RNAcentral. Lineage: Eukaryota; Metazoa; Chordata; Aves; Anseriformes; Anatidae.